RNAcentral lists this ribosomal RNA (323 nucleotides) under uncultured archaeon. RNAcentral describes it as "bacterial SSU rRNA". It matches the Rfam family "Archaeal small subunit ribosomal RNA", at positions 321 to 648 of the family's 1478-position model. The record is from RNAcentral.
CCCUACGGGGCGCAGCAGGCGCGAAAACUUUACAAUGCGGGCAACCGUGAUAAGGAAACCCCGAGUGCCAGCACAGGCUGGCUGUCCACCAGUGUAAACAACUGGUGAAGAGAGGGCCGGGCAAGACCGGUGCCAGCCGCCGCGGUAACACCGGCGGCUCGAGUGGUAACCGUUAUUAUUGGGUCUAAAGGGUCUGUAGCCGGCCGGAUAAGUCUCUUGGGAAAUCCAGCAGCUCAACUGUUGGGCUUUCAGGAGAUACUGCCUGGCUCGAGGCCGGGAGAGGUGAGAGGUACUUCAGGGGUGGGGGUGAAAUCUUGUAAUCC